Long non-coding RNA from Acanthaster planci (crown-of-thorns starfish), 3698 nucleotides. RefSeq lists it as uncharacterized. The record is from RefSeq and is a predicted model, not a curated record. Lineage: Eukaryota; Metazoa; Echinodermata; Asteroidea; Valvatida; Acanthasteridae.
UAUUUGUAAAUAAAUUAGUUUCCAUUGAAUUUUGAAGUUAAAUUAUCUGUUUGAGUGUACUGUGUAAUUUACCGUGCACGCAUUGCAUGUCAGAGGGUAGGGGGGACCCAGGCUUGUAACAGGCCCGUCCCAAAUAAAGUGCUACAGUUGGGCCGGCCAGACUGCAGCAGAGAGGUCCUGUGUGCAUGAUGUGCCCAGCAUGUGCCAAAGUCAUAUUGUUUACAAAUGUCAUGUCAUCGGUCAUAGGACUAGAUGAACAGAUAAAGUGCCACAUUUUAGAUGAAUUGUGUCAAGUGUUAGACACAUUGACUUGCGAAAUGUUGCAACAUUUUCCAUAGACAUUGUUCAACAAUAGUUGGCCCAGCCCAACUGUAGUGCUGCAGUUGGGACUGUCCCGACUAUAGUUGGGACUUAUGCUGUAGUUGUGGCGUAACAUAUGUAUGUGCCCAGCAUGUGCCAAAGUCACAUUGCUUACAGUGUUAUCGCACAGAUUGACCCUCCUUCUAUAACAGUCAAAAAUUUCUUCCACUUCAUUUGCCCCAGUACACAAACCCAUAUGGGAAAUUUGACUGGUUUUGACUGAUGUGACAACUUUAUACUAUAUUCUCUGCUCUGGCAAGUACUCAGGUAGGUACAUGUAACUCAUACGUGUCAAGUUCACAACAUUUGGUCUUGUUUCAGAUGCCCUUCUCUGAACAGGGGGCAGAGCUAUUGGACAACUAAUUUGAAACGUUUCGUUCAUUUCGUUUUGCAUCGCGUCGUAUACGUGUAAUAAUUUCUAUACUUGUAGAGGUCAUGGAAAUUGCCCCCCCUUUUUUUUAAUUGUUGGUUAACUUUUUCCCCCUUCCUAUAAUGCAUCGACCCAGAAUUGUUCUACCCUGUAACAUAAUGGACUUGACCAAAAGUGCCACAUCAGCAGGGACAGGAAGUUGCCUUCAUUGUUUCUCAUGCAAUGUUCAAGGCAACAUCAUCUUCAUUAAAGUCACAAGCUUUCCUGUAUUCCUGACUGGUGUAUUUCCAUUAUUUUUACAGUGGCAUCAUCUUCGCUGGUGUACUAUUUGUGGUACCCAUAUUCCAGAUGUGGGGAAACGAUUCAACACUGAACGAUCUGUCAAUAGAGGACCAAUCGGUUGAGCUUGGGCUGAAGGGUCAGGAGAAGCAGAGGAGGCCAGGGCAGCAGACGGUCGGGAUGGUGAUGGGAGAUGUGUGGGGAUGAAGAGAGUAGAUGAAGACAUGGAUGACGAAUCAGCGAUCAACUCGUGUUUCCACAAGCUAUCAAUCUGACUCGCCAUCUUGCGCAACAUCUGCAAAUCCUGCAGUGGGAUUGUAACCAUCUUUACUGGGGUGCUGGUGACUUUGGGUGACUGUGAUUCCUGUAUUUUGAAGAACAAGCGAAAAGACAGUUGCUUUAUUGGAAUGUUCUUUAUCUUUUGUUGUGCCGAAUUGCAAUGGAAACACACAUGAUGGCAUGUGCCCAGUAUUCACAGCUGUCCGACUCACAGCCAAGCCGCGUUGCUUGCCUGCCAUUCCUUUUGCACAGUUCUUUGUCUUGUUUACUUCCAGACAUUAUUUUGCAAAUGUUGCACUUAUUUUAGACAGGUUUGUUCUUAGUCUGUUCCUUUUCCACACAUGAGACACAGACAAAGCAAGAUGCCAACAAUGCAAUCACAUUUUGAAAUACAUAUUUUGAGUGAACUGGCUCCUUUUAGAGCCAUACAUUUUCACUGAAGAGAUUAUUUAUAUGUCACGUGGAGUUAUCGCAAACCCCAAGCCUUCAACCAUUUUAUGUCACAAUACUACAUGAAACUUUUGAGCUUUGAUGUCACAGGCGGGCCGGCUGGCACACUGGGUAUCACAAGGCGGCUAGCAUGCUUGGUGUCGCAUAAUGGCUGGCGUUAUGGUGACACUGGGCAGUAAUGGGACUGAGGACCAGGCUUUCCUUGAUGACACCAGACCAGGCGGUGACUGGCAUACAAGCAUCAAGAUGCCACGGGAGUGAGCGGAGAAACCACCGGAGUCCCCUUCUGGCUAUCCCCAGUAGAGAGUUCAGUCAGAUGUCUCUGUAUCUAAAAGAGCCAACAUGGUGGUCCGUGCCACAUUACCACAUGUUCUUACCGCUCCAAAAAAGGACUUACAAGGGCGAACUCUGCUUUCCCUUAAUUAAUACACUUAUUUUACAUGUACGUUUAAGAGUUCUAAUGCAAAACACAGACUUAUAUACAUGUAUACACACCCAUUAAUUUAACAUGUGGAAAAGCAAAGGUUUACCCCCAAAGUGAACAAAUCUAUCUCGGCAUCGAAUAUGCUUCAUGGUGCCAUAUGACCAGAUGUUCACAUAAAAAUGCAGGUGCAGGCCAAAGCUAGACUGGCUGAAAGGUUUCUCAGCUUUGAAUUAACCACAUGCACUGAUCCAAGCUAAGAAUUUCGACUUUUCAAUGACAAUGCUCUUAAACAAAGAGAAAUUGUGCAGUCCGAGUCUCUCACUUAAUCCCACUUCGAAGAAGGGAAGACCAAGGUGUUACAGCUUGGGCAGACAUGAAAGAGAUAAACAUUUAUUGUCUAGCCCGAAAUUUCAGUAUAGAGGGAUAGAGAGCAAUUAAAAUGGCGCACACAGAGUAUGCAUUAGGAAAACAGAGAAAAUGGACACCAAGUAAUUUCUAACCUCAGACCAUCGUGAGGUCUGGGUUACAUUAGUAAGCUUUCACCUUACUACUGUUUCAUCUCUCAGUCAUAUGCCAAAAAGUAGUAAGCUUUCACCUUACUACUGUUUCAUCUCUCAGUCAUAUGCCAAAAAGUAGUAAGCUUUCACCUUACUUACUGUUUCAUCUCUCAGUCAUAUGCCAAAAAGUAGUAAGCUUUCACCCUACUACUGUUUCAUCUCUCAGUCAUAUGCCAAAAAGUAGUGUAGCAUAAACCUAAUUGGGCUCUUGUCCUCCAAUCCAGCCAAACACUUGAAAAAGGGGACACAGUGCACUCAAGGCUUCAAAUUCCAAACUCAGUUACUUGUUUUAAUAAAUUAAGAUCUGCUACCUGCCACAAAGCUUCCAAAAACACAACUGAUCGUUCUCCACAUACAAAAGCACACUGUCUGGAAAAGUGUAACAUUGUAGCAAUUGACCCAGCCCUGGAAUCCAGCCAAGCCCUUCCUUCUACCCAACAAAAGAAGCCAACAGAAGCGAUCUAUUUAUAGCUACCUAUUUCUGGAGCACGCGCCGGCCAAAUUCCAAAACCAGGCCAGGUGCACACCCUUACCAAAAUAACCAAUUGAAAUUUCCAAUUGGAACCAAUUGGAAUUUUGCCAAUUGGAAUUUUGCCAAUUGGGAUUUUGCCAAUUGGAUUAUGCCAAUUGGAAUUUUGCCAAUUGGAUUUUCUUACUUUAAUUGACGUCAAAUUUUUCCAAAAGGAAUAAUCUCAAAAAGCGAAACUGUUAACAUUGAACAGAGUAGGCCUACAAAAAUACAUACAUACAUACACACAUUGAAGAUUAAUUGACAUUGAUUUUAUAUGAACUUGAGUUAUGUGUAUUUAUUGUACCUCAUAAUAAACAUCAAGGAGUAGUAUUCAUGCCUGAAUAAGUACUUUUAAAUCACAGAAUGCAAAAGAAGCACUUAAUUACAAUGAUAAAAUAAACAAACAUUUCCAAUGUUUUAUCCAUAAUAACUUAAACAACUGUCUCUCUGAAUGUAUAUGAUUCACCU